Non-coding RNA from Picea glauca (white spruce), 117 nucleotides. NCBI's taxonomy places the organism in Eukaryota, Viridiplantae, Streptophyta, Pinopsida, Pinales, Pinaceae. The record is from Rfam.
UCUGGUGUCCCAGGCGUAGAGGAACCACACCAACCCAUCCCGAACUUGGUGGUUAAACUCUACUGUGGUGACGAUACUAUAGGGGAAUCCCUAUGGGAAAAUAGCUCGGUGCUAGGA